RNAcentral lists this ribosomal RNA (358 nucleotides) under uncultured Thauera sp. Its description in RNAcentral is "bacterial SSU rRNA". It matches the Rfam family "Bacterial small subunit ribosomal RNA", at positions 1023 to 1382 of the family's 1533-position model. Lineage: Bacteria; Pseudomonadati; Pseudomonadota; Betaproteobacteria; Rhodocyclales; Zoogloeaceae. The record is from RNAcentral.
GGAGCCAGAACACAGGUGCUGCAUGGCUGUCGUCAGCUCGUGUCGUGAGAUGUUGGGUUAAGUCCCGCAACGAGCGCAACCCUUGUCAUUAGUUGCCAUCAUUUAGUUGGGCACUCUAAUGAGACUGCCGGUGACAAACCGGAGGAAGGUGGGGAUGACGUCAAGUCCUCAUGGCCCUUAUGGGUAGGGCUUCACACGUCAUACAAUGGUCGGUACAGAGGGUUGCCAAGCCGCGAGGUGGAGCCAAUCCCUUAAAGCCGAUCGUAGUCCGGAUCGUAGUCUGCAACUCGACUACGUGAAGUCGGAAUCGCUAGUAAUCGCAGAUUAGCAUGCUGCGGUGAAUACGUUCCCGGGUCUU